UACGUAGGUGGCGAGCGUUGUCCGGAUUUAUUGGGCGUAAAGCGCGCGCAGGCGGUGCGCUAAGUCUGCGGUGAAAUCUCCCUGGCUCAACCGGGAGGGGGCCGUGGAGACUGGCGCACUGGAGGGACCUAGAGGCCGGUGGAAUUCCCGGUGUAGUGGUGAAAUGCGUAGAGAUCAUGAGGAAGACCAGUGGCGAAGGCGGGUCUCUGGACAGUUCCUGACACUGAGGCACGAAGGCCAGGGGAGCAAACGGG
RNAcentral lists this ribosomal RNA (254 nucleotides) under uncultured bacterium. RNAcentral's name for it is "partial 16S ribosomal RNA". It matches the Rfam family "Bacterial small subunit ribosomal RNA", at positions 524 to 776 of the family's 1533-position model. The record is from RNAcentral.